GACGAACGCUGGCGGCGUGCCUAAUACAUGCAAGUAGAACGCACAGGAUGCACCGUAGUUUACUACACCGUAUUCUGUGAGUUGCGAACGGGUGAGUAACGCGUAGGUAACCUGCCUGGUAGCGGGGGAUAACUAUUGGAAACGAUAGCUAAUACCGCAUAAGAACAUUUACUGCAUGGUAGAUGUUUAAAAGGUGCAAAUGCAUCAUUACCAGAUGGACCUGCGUUGUAUUAGCUAGUAGGUGAGGUAACGGCUCACCUAGGCGACGAUACAUAGCCGACCUGAGAGGGUGAUCGGCCACACUGGGACUGAGACACGGCCCAGACUCCUACGGGAGGCAGCAGUAGGGAAUCUUCGGCAAUGGGGGGAACCCUGACCGAGCAACGCCGCGUGAGUGAAGAAGGUUUUCGGAUCGUAAAGCUCUGUUGUUAAGGAAGAACGAGUGUGAGAAUGGAAAGUU
This 460-nucleotide ribosomal RNA is filed under the name Streptococcus intermedius. RNAcentral describes it as "bacterial SSU rRNA". It matches the Rfam family "Bacterial small subunit ribosomal RNA", at positions 28 to 470 of the family's 1533-position model. Lineage: Bacteria; Bacillati; Bacillota; Bacilli; Lactobacillales; Streptococcaceae. The record is from RNAcentral.